Molecule: long non-coding RNA, 7179 nt
Filed under: Citrus sinensis (sweet orange)
Lineage: Eukaryota; Viridiplantae; Streptophyta; Magnoliopsida; Sapindales; Rutaceae
Description: long non-coding RNA (CSIN_LNC000460)
Rfam family: Plant small nucleolar RNA R71 (bases 4838-4944)
Source: RNAcentral
ACGAAUCUAGAAAUAGAAUAGUGGUAACGAGGUCGAUCCCAUAGGGAUUGUUAUAAAUUGAAAAGUCUAAUUUAAAUCUAAAAUUAAUAUUAAUUCUAACCUAGUUGACCAAAUUGAGUUUCUAAGAAAAUUAAACCAAUUAAACUAAGGAAGCAAUUAAAAUAAAGGAGAAUUCAAUAAGAUAAGAAUUACCAAGGUUUCAGAAUCCACCACUAUUCAACUAGUAAUUAUCUAAAUAUUCAUUAAUUCCCAAUUUUAGAGUGACAACUCGAAAUCAAUAUAUGUUAUCUCAUAAAUAUAACAAUAAGCCCAAUUAAAAUUAAUCUAAUGUAGGUUCUUUUUCCGCUCAAUAGUAUGACAUCUAAGCAUUCCAUGUGAACAUAUUGAAUAACAAAGAGUCAACGUUUUCCUAAGCACUCUGUGUAAACAAUUUAAUGAAAGACACGAAAUCAAAGAUAAUCAUGUAUAAACUUUAUAGAUNNNNNNNNNNNNNNNNNNNNNNNNNNNNNNNNNNNNNNNNNNNNNNNNNNNNNNNNNNNNNNNNNNNNNNNNNNNNNNNNNNNNNNNNNNNNNNNNNNNNNNNNNNNNNNNNNNNNNNNNNNNNNNNNNNNNNNNNNNNNNNNNNNNNNNNNNNNNNNNNNNNNNNNNNNNNNNNNNNNNNNNNNNNNNNNNNNNNNNNNNNNNNNNNNNNNNNNNNNNNNNNNNNNNNNNNNNNNNNNNNNNNNNNNNNNNNNNNNNNNNNNNNNNNNNNUUCAUCCUUAACCUCAGUAUAAGAAAAUUAGCUAGACAUACUUAAAUUGUGAGCAACAAAAGAAAUAAAAUCAGCCAUGGAAGCCGAAAUAUUGCUGCUGCCGCUGCUCUCUGUUCAAAGCCGAAUUCUCCUUUUUGUUUCCGUCCAGCCUUUAAUUCAAAAGAAAAACUCCCUUUUAUAUUGCUUGGCCACUGAAUCCUAUUAUGAUUCUAAUAACUAAACCAACUCUUACAAGCUAAAGCUCUAAGCCUGCCAGGUAAUUGAAAACAAUAAAAGCCAAAAGCUAUUGAUUCCCUUCCUUUAUUCUAUUUUGACUUUCCAUUCAAAGACUUAAUUAAAAACUUUGUUUAAUGUGCUGCCCACUUUAGCUUUAAACCUCUUCUUUGUUUGCACGAGCAUGGAUAUUCAAUUUAUUGGCUUCGGUUUCUUCAAACAUAAUUUCUUGCACAUCUCCUUAAUUACUUCCACAAAUUGAUUUGAUCUUCAAUGCUGUCCAAUUGUUAUUCUUUACGUACUUUUCAUCCAUAAUCUCCAAUUAAUUUCCUAUGCAAUAACAUAAUUCAAUUAAUUAAAAAUAACAAAUAAAAAUAACUAGCAAUUAUAUAAUUAAGGGUAAAAUGUGUAUAUAAAUUAUACUCAUCAAAUACACCCAGACUUAUAUUUUGCUAGUUCUCGAGCAAAACUAAAACUAAAACUAAAAACAAAAACAAAAGUAAUGAAACAAAAAGUAAAUCCUAACUAAACCACUUUCACAGGUGAUCGCGAUUGCAUUUAGCGUAUGCAGCAAGCCUUUAAACCCCUAGGCGGCCCUAGUGGACGAGUUAUAGUCUCGCGAGGGCUUUAGUGAUGAUACCCACAAACAUCAUUUAAAAAAAAUUAAAUUAAAAAAACAAAAAACUUUAAAUAAAACAUGAAAAAUAGCCUCAAAGAUUGCAAAAAUUAUAUAGCUCAAAGAAAAUUUCAAAUAUUGGCAAAGUUCUAACUUUAAUUCAAUAAUAAAUCCCAUCUCUCUUUCGAUUCUUGUAGUGUGUGUGUGAAAUCAAUUCAAUCAAAUUCAUUCCUAAAAUCUUCAAUAUCAACAGCCUUCGCCUCAAACAAAGAAAAGAGUAGGUCAAACUAAUCUUAUCAUCUUGAUCUCUAAUGUUUUCCUCUCACAGGCUUUUAUGUGCAUUUUCUUUUGAUUUUUUUUUCAGCACAUGCACUUGAUUUCAUUUUUUUUUCUUUUCCUUUUUUUUCUUUUUUUUUUCCUUAACCACUUGUGGUACAUAGGCCCAAAUUACUCAAGGAUAGCUUCACUCUUAAGGGUUAUAGGUAGCUAUUUCUGACUUUGGCGCCUGUGUAUACUAUUUUGUAUUGUGGAGAUAAGAAUCAAGACAAACAGUCAUUUACUCUAUCUAAAAUUCUCAACUCAGGCUGCAUCAAUCUCAAAUUUCAAGUCAAAAUCAUGAAAGAACGGAUAUUAGUGCUCAUGAUGUGUAAAGAAUCUCAAUAAAGAGGAACUAACACAAGAAUCAAGUAUAAACUAAGACAAUAUUCAACCCUUUCUAAGAACCAUAUUCAUUAUCAAUCAAGUUUUUAUCAUUGGCUUUUCACAUAAAAACAAAAAGAAAAAAAUUUUUUUUUUUUGAAUUUUUGAAAUUUUUUGAUUUUUUUAAUAACAAACAAAACACACACUAUUCCCACCCCCAAACUUAUUUGGAAUAUUGUCCUCAAUGUUUCACAAACAAAAGAUAAGCAUGCAAACAAAUGAAAGAAAAAUAAUAAUAAAAACAUAAAUAAUAAAAAGAAAGUUGGAGAGAACACACCUGGAUGGGCUGAGAAAGCUUAAAAAAAUGACAACUAAAAAGAAAACGUUAGAAGAAAUAUAAAUAAUGAAAUAAAAAAAAUCAUACUAACUAACAAAUUAAUGUAAACAAUAAAUCAACCAGGAUCAAUAAGAAUUUGGUGAAAAUCAAAGCAAUUAUACAGAAAAUACCAGAAAGCAUAAUUGAUUAAGCACUGGAGCAUUUUAUCCAUAAAAGGAUGAUGGUAAUGAAACUCCUCAAUAUCGCACUGCUUUGAUCUCUUAUGUUCCAAGCUUUCCUGAGAGUUAUCUGAAGUAGUAUAAAAAUCUAAUAAUUUAAGCACUUUAGAUCUUACCACCUUUUUCAUGUCAGAAUGUGACCUAUGUUGUAUUUUUUUAGGAAGUAGCUCCAACUUGAAUGGUUCACUUUUCUCUUCAGUAGGAAGUGGCUCAAUGUUUUCUUUCCACUUAAUUAGAUCUAUGAUAAGAGUCGAAUCAAGUAAAUCAUUAACUUCUUCAAUACCACUAUCAACAUCAACAAAGAAAUCAGAGUCAGUUAUGCAUGGUAUUAAUGGAUUGUCACAGUGGUUUUGUGAGUCAUCAAUUGAUGCUUCUAUCAUAUCUACUUCAACGACUUCAUCAUCUUCUUGUGCCUGCUUGGGAACAUUAAAAAUGUUUAAUUCUAUGGUCAUGUUACCAAAAGACAAUUGCAUGUUUCCAGUCCUGCAACUAAUAUGAGCAGCAGCUGUAGCUAAGAAAUGACGACCUAGAAUAAUUGGGGUGUGUUUCUUAAGAUCUUGUACAUGCUGAGUAUCAAUAACAAUAAAAUCAACAUGAUAAUAAAAUUUGUCAAUUUGUGUCAGCACAUCCUCUAUAAUACCACGAGGUAUUUUCAUUGACCUAUCAGCAAGUUACAAAACAAUGGAAGUUGAUUUUAACUCACCUAGUCCAAGUUGCAUGUAAAUAGAAUAAGGCAAAAGAUUAACACUAGUACCCAAAUCCAAUAAUGUUUUAUCAAAACAUUGGUUUCUUAUAACACAUGAGAUAGUAGGAGAACCUGGAUCCUUAAAUUUUGGUGGCAUUUUACAUUAAAGUAAAUUGCUAGUUUGUUCAGUUAAAAAUGCCUUUUUGGUGACAUGCAAGUUUCUCUUUUUAGUGCAUAAAUCUUUCAAAAACUUGGUAUAUGAAGGAACUUGCUUAAUAGCAUCGAGUAAAGAGAUGUUUAUACUUACCUGCUUGAAGAUUUCCAUAAUCUCACCUGUUGAAGUCCAUUUCUUUACCUUUGAGGAAAAUUAGCCUUGGGAAUGUAAGCUGGCGGGUCACUCUCUUCUGGAUCAUUUAGUGAUGAGUCUUGUGAUGAAACUGGAUCUGAAGAAGUAGGUUCAGAUGUCUUCCUUGUUGAAACCUCCACCUUGUUGUCAAAUAAUUUUCCUCUUCUCAAGGUCAUAACAGAUUUUACUUCUUCAUGCUGAUGGCUUGAACUCGAUCCAACUUCAUGCACUCCUUUAGGAUUGGGAAUUGAUUGACUGGAGAAUUUUCCUUUUUCUCUCUCCGCUACAGUAGUUGCUAAUUGACCCAAUUGAUGUUCAAGCUUUAGAAUAGCUUGAGUGUUUGACUGAAAAGCUUGUUGGGUUAACUGAAUGAAACUUUGAAGUGUAUCCUCUAAAGAAGGUUUUCUUUGUUGGGGUGCAACAAAUUGAGACGUAGGUUGUUGGGCAGGGGGAUAUACUUGGUUAGGAGGGACAAAUUGUUGAUUGGGCAUGUUAAAUUGUUGUCCUCCUUGGUUUGACAAAGGUUGAUUUUGUUUCCAAGAAAAAUUAGGGUGAUUCCUCCAAUUAGGAUUAUAUGUGAGUAAAUAUGGAUUAUUGGAGGUUUUUUCAUAUGAUUGUAAGACAUGUACCUACUCAGAAUAAGCCUCUGGAUAGACUGGUAAUGAUGGACAAUUUUGUAUUGUAUGAGACAAGUUAGAACAAAUAGCACAAACCUCAUUAGCUACACUAGGAUGAUGAUUCAUUGAUUGGUUCAGAGCUAAGGCAUCUACUUUUCUAGAAAGUGUAACUAGAGUGGAUUUCACAUCAAAAUCAUCAUUAACUUCAUAUAACCCCUUUCUAGAAACUUGAGAUGAUUUUUCCCUUUGGUUUGAAAAAUCACACUCUUGAGAAUUCUCAGAAAGUGAAUUAAAGAAAUCUCAUGCAGCCCCUUCAUGUAGGUUCAAAAAUCUCUCACCAUUCAUAGACUCUACCAUAUGACGAUUCGACAUGGUUAAACUGUUAUAAAAGCAUUGUAUAAGUCUCCAUUUCUCAAAACCAUGGUGGGGACACUUAAUGAGUAAAUCAUUGAAUCUUUCCCAGCACUCAUAAAAUUGCUCACCCUCUCUUUGAUAAAAAUCACUUAUCUCUCUCUUAAGGGCAUUUGUUUUAGACAUAGGGAAAAACUUGGUGAGGAAAUUAUUACUUAAUUCAUCCCACGUAGUUAUAGAACCAGCAGGAAGCGAAUUCAACCAAGCUUUCACUACUACUAUCAAUUUUCGACUCUCUUUUAACCAAACGAUUUGUUGAAUCACGUUCCCAAACACUCAUAAACUAACUAGACAAGGAAAGAAAGAAAAAUAAAAUAAAAUAAACCAACAAAAAUGAGAAUAAACGAAAUUUAAAAAUAAAAGAAAUCAAACAACCAAACAAUGAAUUUAAAGACAAAUAAAAGUUUUUUUUUGUGUUUUUUUAAUUAAAAAAUAAAAGACAACCUAAAUUAUAACUAGUAGAAGAAUUAAAUCAACCUAGAUUAAACUGACUUUCUAGCACAAUCCCCCGCAACGACGCUAAAAACUUGUAACCUCCACCUUGUUGUCAAAUAAUUUUCCUCUUCUCAAGGUCAUAACAGAUUUUACUUCUUCAUGCUGAUGGCUUGAACUCGAUCCAACUUCAUGCACUCCUUUAGGAUUGGGAAUUGAUUGACUGGAGAAUUUUCCUUUUUCUCUCUCCGCUACAGUAGUUGCUAAUUGACCCAAUUGAUGUUCAAGCUUUAGAAUAGCUUGAGUGUUUGACUGAAAAGCUUGUUGGGUUAACUGAAUGAAACUUUGAAGUGUAUCCUCUAAAGAAGGUUUUCUUUGUUGGGGUGCAACAAAUUGAGACGUAGGUUGUUGGGCAGGGGGAUAUACUUGGUUAGGAGGGACAAAUUGUUGAUUGGGCAUGUUAAAUUGUUGUCCUCCUUGGUUUGACAAAGGUUGAUUUUGUUUCCAAGAAAAAUUAGGGUGAUUCCUCCAAUUAGGAUUAUAUGUGAGUAAAUAUGGAUUAUUGGAGGUUUUUUCAUAUGAUUGUAAGACAUGUACCUACUCAGAAUAAGCCUCUGGAUAGACUGGUAAUGAUGGACAAUUUUGUAUUGUAUGAGACAAGUUAGAACAAAUAGCACAAACCUCAUUAGCUACACUAGGAUGAUGAUUCAUUGAUUGGUUCAGAGCUAAGGCAUCUACUUUUCUAGAAAGUGUAACUAGAGUGGAUUUCACAUCAAAAUCAUCAUUAACUUCAUGCCCCUUCAUGUAAGUUCAAAAAUCUCCCACCAUUCAUAGACUCUACCAUAUGACGAUUCGACAUGGUUAAACUGUUAUAAAAGCAUUGUAUAAGUCUCCAUUUCUCAAAACCAUGGUGGGGACACUUAAUGAGUAAAUCAUUGAAUCUUUCCCAGCACUCAUAAAAUUGCUCACCCUCUCUUUGAUAAAAAUCACUUAUCUCUCUCUUAAGGGCAUUUGUUUUAGACAUAGGGAAAAACUUGGUGAGGAAAUUAUUACUUAAUUCAUCCCACGUAGUUAUAGAACCAGCAGGAAGCGAAUUCAACCAAGCUUUCACUUUGUCUUUUAAUGAGAAAGAGAACAUACGAAGCCUAAUUGACUCAUCAUUAAAAUUUUGAAAACGGAAUGUAGAGCAUAUGUCAAGAAAUUCCUUAAUGUGCAAAUAUGGAUCCUCUCUCUCUAACCCAUGGAAAGAUGGUAAAAGUUGAAUGACUGAGGGCUUAAGUUGAAAGUGUGUUGCUGUAGUUUGUGGCAACACAAUACAAGAUGGUUGGUUGGCUGCAAGUGGUGAAAAAUAUUCUCUAAGGGUUUUCUCUGUUUGCACUAGUGGAAGUAUUGGCAAUAGUCUAUUUGGGUCAUCCAUCACUUCUAAAGAACUAGUUUGACUACUAUCAAUUUUCGACUCUCUUUUAACCAAACGAUUUGUUGAAUCACGUUCCCAAACACUCAUAAACUAACUAGACAAGGAAAGAAAGAAAAAUAAAAUAAAAUAAACCAACAAAAAUGAGAAUAAACGAAAUUUAAAAAUAAAAGAAAUCAAACAACCAAACAAUGAAUUUAAAGACAAAUAAAAGUUUUUUUUGUGUUUUUUUAAUUAAAAAAAUAAAAGACAACUUAAAUUAUAACUAGUGGAAGAAUCAAAUCAACCUAGAUUAAACUGACUUUCUNNNNNNNNNNNNNNNNNGGAUUGUUAUAAAUUGAAAAGUCUAAUUUAAAUCUAAAAUUAAUAUUAAUUCUAACCUAGUUGACCAAAUUGAGUUUCUAAGAAAAUUAAACCAAUUAAACUAAGGAAGCAAUUAAAAUAAAGGAGAAUUCAAUAAGAUAAGAAUUACCAAGGUUUCAGAAUCCACCACUAUUCAA